AGGUAGUAGCUCUGAGACUGCUCCUGGUUGGGUGCUCUCAGCUCCUGGCAUCUGUGAGGAAGGAAGCAGAGAGCUAGCUCUCUGUGCUGAGCCCGAGACAGGAUCCCAGUGUGUGGGGAGCCACAAUGCCAGCUGAGGGGACAGGAGUCAGGUUUUACCUCCUGCUGUUCCUCUUUGUGGCCAACCGAGGGCCGAGUGCAGGUAAGUCACUCAGGAGCAGC
Molecule: long non-coding RNA, 221 nt
Filed under: Capra hircus (goat)
Lineage: Eukaryota; Metazoa; Chordata; Mammalia; Artiodactyla; Bovidae
Description: lncRNA (ENSCHIG00000006986.1)
Source: RNAcentral